CCCGCUGAACUUAAGCAUAUCAAUAAGCGGAGGAAAAGAAACCAACAGGGAUUCCCCCAGUAACGGCGAGUGAAGAGGGAAAAGCUCAAAUUUUGAAUCUGGUGUCUUUGGCGCCCGAGUUGUAAACUAGAGAAGUGUUUUCUGUGUCGGUCCAUGCACAAGUCCCCUGGAACGGGGUGUCAUAGAGGGUGAGAAUCCCGUAUAUGGCAUGGACCCUGACACUCUGUGAUACACUCUCAACGAGUCGAGUUGUUUGGGAAUGCAGCUCAAAAUGGGUGGUGAAUUCCAUCUAAAGCUAAAUAUUGGCGAGAGACCGAUAGCGAACAAGUACCGUGAGGGAAAGAUGAAAAGCACUUUGGAAAGAGAGUGAAACAGUACGUGAAAUUGUUGAAAGGGAAGCGUUUGAAGUCAGUCGUGUCGUUCGGAAUUCAGUCUGGCUUCUGCCUGGCGUACUUUCCAUUCGACAGGUCAGCAUCAGUUUCGAUCGGGGGAAAAAGGCAUGGGGAAUGUGGCUGUCUUCGGGCAGUGUUAUAGCCCCAUGUUGUAUGCCUCGAUUGGGACUGAGGAAUGCAGCGCGCCUAUUGGCCGGGGGUUCGCGCCCCUCGGUACGCGCUUAGGAUGCUGGCAUAAUGGCUUUAAGCGACCCGUCUUGAAACACGG
RNAcentral lists this ribosomal RNA (660 nucleotides) under uncultured fungus. RNAcentral describes it as "eukaryotic LSU rRNA". It matches the Rfam family "Eukaryotic large subunit ribosomal RNA", at positions 24 to 664 of the family's 3401-position model. The record is from RNAcentral. Lineage: Eukaryota; Fungi.